RNAcentral lists this non-coding RNA (31 nucleotides) under Homo sapiens (human). The record is from RNAcentral. Lineage: Eukaryota; Metazoa; Chordata; Mammalia; Primates; Hominidae.
UCAGGGGUGUUCUUACCCUCAGCAGUUGGGU